Molecule: ribosomal RNA, 1358 nt
Filed under: uncultured bacterium
Lineage: Bacteria
Description: 16S ribosomal RNA
Rfam family: Bacterial small subunit ribosomal RNA
Source: RNAcentral
GAUGAACGCUGGCGGCGUGCUUAACACAUGCAAGUCGAACGGGAAAUAUUUCAUUGAGACUUCGGUGGAUUUGGUCUAUUUCUAGGGGCGGACGGGUGAGUAACGCGUGGGUAACCUGCCUUAUACAGGGGGAUAACAGUCAGAAAUGGCUGCUAAUACCGCAUAACCGCACAGGGCUGCGUGGCUCAGUGUGAAAAACUCCGGUGGUAUAAGAUGGACCCGCGUUGGAUUAGCUGGUUGGUGGGGUAACGGCCCACCAAGGCGACGAUCCAUAUCCGGCCUGAGAGGGUGAACGGCCACAUUGGGACUGAGACACAGCCCAAACUCCUACGGGAGGCAGCAGUGGGGAAUAUUGCACAAUGGGGGAAACCCUGAUGCACCGACGCCGCGUGAAGGAAGAAGUAUCUCGGUAUGUAAACUUCUAUCAGCAGGGAAGAUAGUGACGGUACCUGACUAAGAAGCCCCGGCUAACUACGUGCCAGCAGCCGCGGUAAUACGUAGGGGGCAAGCGUUAUCCGGAUUUACUGGGUGUAAAGGGAGCGUAGACGGUGUGGCAAGUCUGAUGUGAAAGGCAUGGGCUCAACCUGUGGACUGCAUUGGAAACUGUCAUACUUGAGUGCCGGAGGGGUAAGCGGAAUUCCUAGUGUAGCGGUGAAAUGCGUAGAUAUUAGGAGGAACACCAGUGGCGAAGGCGGCUUACUGGACGGUAACUGACGUUGAGGCUCGAAAGCGUGGGGAGCAACCAGGAUUAGAUACCCUGGUAGUCCACCCCGUAAACGAUGAAUACUAGGUGUCGGGGAGCAUGGCUCUUUGGUACCGUCGCAAACGCACAUAAAUAAUCCCACCUGGGGAGUGCGUUCGCACGAAUGAAACUCAAAGGAAAAGACGCGGAGCCGCGCACGCGCUGGAGCACGUGGUUUAUUUUUAAGCAACGCGAAGAGCCCCACCACGUCUUGACAUCCGCCUGACCGAUCCUUAACCGGAUAUAUCUUUCUGGACAGGCGAGACACGUGGUGCACGGUUGUCUUCAGCUCGUGUCGUGAGAGGUUGGGUUAAGUCUCGCACCGAGCGCACCCCCCCUCCUCAGUAGCCAGCCUUUAAGGUGGGCACUCUGGGGAGACUGCCAGGGAUAACCUGGAGGAAGGCGGGGAUGACGUCAAAUCAUCACGCCCCCUAUGAUUUGGGCUACACACGUGCUACAAUGGCGUAAACAAAGAGAAGCGAGAUCGUGAGAUGGAGCAAAUCCCAAAAAUAACGUCCCAGUUCGGACUGUAGUCUGCAACCCGCCUACACGAAGUUGGAAUCGCUAGUAAUCGCGGAUCAGAAUGCCGCGGUGAAUACGUUCCCGGGUCUUGUAC